GUUCGACCAUUUAUCCUAUUUAAAUUUUUUUCGAUUAAUAUUUUUAUUAUUACUAGAUGAUAAAAUAUGAAUAGUACGUUAUACGUGACUAAUUUUUUAGUUUUUGCAUAAUUUUUUUAAAUAAGACGAAUGGUCAAAC
Molecule: microRNA precursor, 139 nt
Filed under: Oryza brachyantha (malo sina)
Lineage: Eukaryota; Viridiplantae; Streptophyta; Magnoliopsida; Poales; Poaceae
Description: MIR812 microRNA precursor family
Rfam family: MIR812 microRNA precursor family
Source: Rfam by way of RNAcentral